This 84-nucleotide non-coding RNA is filed under the name unclassified sequences. Its description in RNAcentral is "Proteo-phage-1 RNA". It matches the Rfam family "Proteo-phage-1 RNA". The record is from Rfam by way of RNAcentral.
CCCGGGCUUGCCGGGCCGCGUGAGCGGAUAAGCAAGAAGCGGAUUUGUCGGAUAGUGCCGCUUUUCAUCAAAACACCGACUGUC